GCGCUUUUCAACAGCACUGUCGCUAUCGUGACAGGAUGUUCGACAGUCACGGCCCAGGUGGCGGGUGCUGGGAGGCUCGCCCGUCCGGGGGGCCUAAUAGCACAUGAACGUAGUCUGAGCGUCUCUGCUGAGAGGUAGAUGGCAUGAUUGCCUAUCCAAGGAUAAGUCCGAGCAUGAGUUUAAGAAGAUAAACCUGCUUCACUGAACUAUGGAGUGCACGGUUCUGCCUUUAAUAAACCACUAGGAAGCC
Molecule: non-coding RNA, 250 nt
Organism: Rattus norvegicus (Norway rat)
Lineage: Eukaryota; Metazoa; Chordata; Mammalia; Rodentia; Muridae
Source: RefSeq, a predicted model, not a curated record